GGGCUUAACGUAGCUUCUUCUUCUAGACGUUACAUUAGUAAUACGCUCGCUCAUAAUGUCGAGUCAUAGCCGCAGCAAAUUUGACUGCUUAUGCUUUUGUGUAUUAUGUUGUGCUAUCUGUCGUUUUUCUGUGCUUUUACUGCUUCUAUUAAUGUAAAGCUGCUUUGAAACAAUUAAGUAUUGUGAAAAGCGCUAUAUAAAUAAAAUUGAAUUGAAUUGAAUUGAAUUGAAUGAAGGAACGCUUGAUAUUGUCUGUAAGCAGUCACCCGGAGCUAUACGACACAAGUUCUUAUUUCUAUAGAGACAGGAAUAAAAAGGACCUCACUUGGAAGAGUGUCAGUUGAGGACAUUGGGCAACCUGGUAAGUUGUAAAUACACAUUUCACUUUUGAGUCACGUGACAUUUAUCGAUCUGUGCCAUUUAUUUUCCCACUAUAGUAAGGUGACCAAAUACAUACCGAUAACUCUCUCGAUAAAUUCACAAUCAACAUCAGUCAUCUUGCAAACAGACAACCGCAUAGCACUUUCCCCUCCCACAAGAAGCGGAUUUUGCCUCUGACGGGCGUCAAAUGCUUGUUUUUUUUUAAUGAAUGCAUUCAAACCGUUCAAGCGUCAAACUAGGCGCGUUUUUUACUGUUUUUGAGUCCAUGGAUGCUUAGUGUUUUAUAAGUUGUGUAAGAGCACCACCUAGUGGAUAAUAGCGAAAAUAUGGAUUGCCGUAAAACUCGUUAUUGCCAGGGAAGUGUUUUCUCUUAAUUUGUCAAUGGCAGGGAAAAAGUUAACAUAAACAAUGAAUCAUGUCACUUUUUUGUCUGCGAUACAAGAUGUAUUACUCUUUGAAAUGUUAGCAGUGCGGUUGUCCCGCCUUCAGCGGAUAUCAUCAGCAAACAUGUUUUCAGUUGCAAUCCGGACGAGAUCUAAAUACAUGAAAACCUUUUGUUUUACAGUAACAAAGAGCUUACACUUCCUGCCAAAGUAUUGCAGAUCUGUGGCGAGUGAUUAAAAACAUUCCCACUCAUUUGAUGAUGUGAUGAUUUAUAGCUUUAAUCGUCCCCAAAAUAGCUGGAAGGCGUCUGGUAUACUAGCAGCAGAUUUUUCCAUGGUACUUAUUUCACAACAACCCCACUUGAAGCUGAAGAACACAUCACAACCCGACCCAUCGUGCUUUGCUCUUUAUUGAGUUGAGCUGUACACAAAUCGAGGACAAUAACAAGGUCAGAUGUGCUCUGGGCUUUCAGUUGUUCAUCUUGUUUUGCUAGCUAUUGAAUUUGUCAUGCCGUGGCAGAACUGAAAAUACUUUUCCUGCAUUUGCCGAAAUCCAGCCCCCCCACCUUCUCUUUUCCAGGCUGAUUUCAUUGGGAAUGCUAUUAAUUGAGAUCAAAUGCUGUUCGGAGAACGCUCUUGUUGCACAUGGCUGCAUAUUUGUGGUGCCCUGUGAAACCUAAUCGGCUUGUUUCUCAAGCGUUCAGUCAAGAUGACAAGCUGGAGAUAUGAAGUGAUAGGAAUGACACACAUCUGUUUGUAGAUUAUACAGGCCUUUUUUAAAGCAUUAACACAAAUUUUUCAGUCAAAGUAAAAACUAUAACACAGUAUUCAUGUUUUUUAAAGCAUGGGUCUUCAACAGGGGUCUGCGGGGACAAAAGAACAAAAAUUGUUAUUUUAAAUAUUUGUAACAUAAGCAUCACAACAAGGUGUCUGUUAUAAAUAAUAAUAAAUACAGUCUUAAUUUGA
This is a non-coding RNA of Misgurnus anguillicaudatus (oriental weatherfish), 1730 nucleotides long. NCBI's taxonomy places the organism in Eukaryota, Metazoa, Chordata, Actinopteri, Cypriniformes, Cobitidae. The record is from RefSeq and is a predicted model, not a curated record.